CGAACGGGUGAGUAACACGUGAGUAACCUGCCCUUGACUCUGGGAUAACAGCUGGAAACAGCUGCUAAUACCGGAUAUCAACCUCGUUGGCAUCUUCGAGGUUUGAAAGCUACGGCGGUCAUGGAUGGACUCGCGGCCUAUCAGCUUGUUGGUGAGGUAAUGGCUCACCAAGGCGACGACGGGUAGCCGGCCUGAGAGGGCGACCGGCCACAUUGGGACUGAGAUACGGCCCAA
RNAcentral lists this ribosomal RNA (234 nucleotides) under uncultured Actinomycetales bacterium. RNAcentral's name for it is "partial 16S ribosomal RNA". It matches the Rfam family "Bacterial small subunit ribosomal RNA", at positions 99 to 334 of the family's 1533-position model. Lineage: Bacteria; Bacillati; Actinomycetota; Actinomycetes; Actinomycetales. The record is from RNAcentral.